RNAcentral lists this long non-coding RNA (1172 nucleotides) under Phasianus colchicus (ring-necked pheasant). RNAcentral's name for it is "lncRNA (ENSPCLG00000014970.1)". Lineage: Eukaryota; Metazoa; Chordata; Aves; Galliformes; Phasianidae. The record is from RNAcentral.
GCGGCGGGAGGGGGGGCGCCGGAAAAGGCCGCGGGCGGGAGGAGCCCCGAGGCGGCGGGCGGGGACGGGGCGGGCGGCGGCGGCGGCGGGAGGGGCGCUGCGCUGCGCUCCGCCCCGAGGGGCGCCGCCAUCAGCGGGGCGGGGCGGCGGCGGAGCGGAGCGCGGCUGGAGCCCGCGGCGCGGGUUUGGCGGCCUUGGCGGCUUUGGCCGUAAGGAGCUGCGUGCAGCGGGCUUUUAAAUAAAAGUUUCCUCGGUAGCGCCGCGAGAUCCGUUCUGCGGAAAUGCCUUCGCCGAACAGGAGCACCGCUGUUAAUUCGGUCCUCCGUCACCGCGGCGGCGCUCUCCUCCCGCGCGGCCGCUGGGGCUGUUCGGGUGACUUCCAUCUUGCUGCGACGCCGCAGCCGCUGUUUAAAUACGUUCUUUUACCCCCUGACGGCGUUUUAGGCGUUAACCGACGGAAGGCUCGAAUACCUUCCUGCUUAUUCACGUCGUUUCUUCUGUCGUUAUUUUUUUGCGGGCAGCCGCAAAGGACUCAUCUUUGAGCACUGCCAAUAGACAAAACCAAAGGAGGGCAAACAAGACACAUUUCAGCAUCUGAUUCCACUGGCACUAGAGCCCUGAAUAGUACCAAGAGCUACUGUUUCAGAGGGGGACAACAUAGCUUGUUGGAUCUUCACCUGGGAGAUCAGUGUGCCAUGUAACAACCUUCUCUGCAAUUCAUUUAUCCGCACCGGAACGUAUUUCAGAAGUAUUAAUGAGUCCAACAUGGUUGUGUCAGGAGCUCAGGAGGCUGUUUCCCUAGCCCUUGGGUAAUGUGUGCAUCCCAUCACAUGGACAGCCACUUGGCACGUCCCUACUCUGACCCCAGAGGCACCUGGCCACAGAGCUAAAGGGCUACAUUUUUUAAUUGUUCUGUUAGGAAGAUAUAAUGCAAAAGCAGGGGCUGUCAUCUAUAAAUAGUUUCUCUUUGGCUUGCAGUAAACUCAUAGCACAUCCCUUUUUAUUCCUAAGCCAAUAUCUGGCAGAAAGCUGAUAUCUUAACAAUAUCUUAACAGCUGCUGAUGAGCUGAAAUUAUCCUAGCCAGGUGUAGGAGACUUCAAAAGCACUUGGAUUUUCUGAACUGCUGCCAGCCCCUUGGGAAGCAGAAAUAAAAGGGAAAAUAGCAAAGGCA